Molecule: transfer RNA, 72 nt
Filed under: Ochthebius semisericeus
Lineage: Eukaryota; Metazoa; Arthropoda; Insecta; Coleoptera; Hydraenidae
Description: transfer RNA-Leu
Source: RNAcentral
UAUUGUUAUUUUGGCAGAUUAGUGCAUUAAAUUUAGAAUUUAAUUAUGUAAUUAUUUAUUUACAAAUAAUAC